GCGCACUCUUCGGAGUGAGCGGCGGACGGGUUAGUAACGCGUGGGAACAUACCCUUUUCUACGGAAUAGCCUCGGGAAACUGAGAGUAAUACCGUAUACGCCCUUCGGGGGAAAGAUUUAUCGGAGAAGGAUUGGCCCGCGUUUGAUUAGAUAGUUGGUGGGGUAAUGGCCUACCAAGUCUACGAUCAAUAGCUGGUUUGAGAGGAUGAUCAGCAACACUGGGACUGAGACACGGCCCAGACUCCUACGGGAGGCAGCAGUGGGGAAUCUUAGACAAUGGGCGCAAGCCUGAUCUAGCCAUGCCGCGUGAGUGACGAAGGCCUUAGGGUCGUAAAGCUCUUUCGCCAGAGAUGAUAAUGACAGUAUCUGGUAAAGAAACCCCGGCUAACUCCGUGCCAGCAGCCGCGGUAAUACGGAGGGGGUUAGCGUUGUUCGGAAUUACUGGGCGUAAAGCGUACGUAGGCGGAUUAGAAAGUAGGGGGUGAAAUCCCAGGGCUCAACCCUGGAACUGCCUCCUAAACUACUAGUCUAGAGUUCGAGAGAGGUGAGUGGAAUUCCAAGUGUAGAGGUGAAAUUCGUAGAUAUUUGGAGGAACACCAGUGGCGAAGGCGGCUCACUGGCUCGAUACUGACGCUGAGGUACGAAAGUGUGGGGAGCAAACAGGAUUAGAUACCCUGGUAGUCCACACCGUAAACGAUGAAUGCCAGACGUCGGGGGGCUUGCCC
Molecule: ribosomal RNA, 725 nt
Filed under: alpha proteobacterium GM27
Lineage: Bacteria; Pseudomonadati; Pseudomonadota; Alphaproteobacteria
Description: bacterial SSU rRNA
Rfam family: Bacterial small subunit ribosomal RNA
Source: RNAcentral